This 107-nucleotide small nuclear RNA is filed under the name Procavia capensis (Cape rock hyrax). Lineage: Eukaryota; Metazoa; Chordata; Mammalia; Hyracoidea; Procaviidae. The record is from RNAcentral.
GUGCUCACGUUGGCAGCACGUACACUAAAAUUGGAACGAUACAGAAAAGAUUAGCAUGGCCACUGCACAAGGAUGACACGUGAAUUCUGGAAGUGUUCCACAACUUU